AGUGGGUUGCGUCACUAGUCGAACUUUGUUCUCGGCUAAUGAGUGACAAUAUACUCGACGUCCAAGGCAAUGUGAGUCAACUUCCAAGUGGUGAGUUCGUUUUGGGUUUCCCGAAACGGAUGAUGAUCUGCGGCAACAUCGGGAAUUAUGCGGCGUUGAUGAAAGUCGUGCCAUGUCUCGAUGUUGUUGACCCGUCUCCUGAUUUCGAAUCACUGGUUUCGUUUUUCGAUGAUAUUCGUUAAAAGAUGUGGCAUUGUUGCAUUUGCUGAUGAUUAUUGUUGAACGAUGAUGCUAGUGUUUCUUGGUAGCUUGUCUGUCUAAUGCGUUGUUGAUGAGCUUCGUCCCAAUAGAAUGUGGUGUCAUGUUGCUUGUUGUUGAUCCUAGUUUCAAGCUUGUUAAGCUUAAAACACAUGGAUUAUGGAUUAGUGACAGGUCAUCGCUUCUUUGGUUGAUGAAGGUCGUUCAAUGCGUUGGUUAGUUUGUGUUCUCGCAUCGUUCGGUGCAUUCUGGGGUCAUUUUGGCUAUCAGUUGCUUGCUUGGCCUUUGAGCUUGGUGGGUGGCUGUUAGUUGGGUGGUUUCGGGGAUGUCUACCGUAAAGGUGCAUGAGUGGUGUUUGGUUUGUUACGGGUGGUUGGCUCUUUGCUUGCGCAACAACUUCCACCUGGCAUACCUCUUCAGUCUUGUGUCAAUGCUUUUAUCGCAUUGCACGCACUGUGGGUUUCUUGUGUUGCAUUCCUAAUUGAUGGUAUCAUUUGAAGAAUUGAUGUCCAUUUUUGUCUUGUGUCGCACAUGCGAUGUGAGAUGAACCUUGAAGCAGCCUUGGUGUUCCACUCUUUUGAUGUACACGCAUUGAUUUUGUGGCCCAUUAAGUGUUGCUUGGUCUCAUGGAUAUAGAACCUGGUGUGGGCAUGGGAUCUACCGGUUCCUUGUUUGCCCUAGUUUAGCUUAUCUAAUACGAUUGUCUAUCAUGUCUUAACGUGGUAGGCUAUAUCGAAUAUGAAUGCUACCUGGUUGAUCCUGCCAGUAGUCAUAUGCU
This 1036-nucleotide unclassified non-coding RNA is filed under the name Filago desertorum. RNAcentral describes it as "partial external transcribed spacer". The record is from RNAcentral. Lineage: Eukaryota; Viridiplantae; Streptophyta; Magnoliopsida; Asterales; Asteraceae.